This 406-nucleotide ribosomal RNA is filed under the name uncultured bacterium. RNAcentral's name for it is "partial 16S ribosomal RNA". It matches the Rfam family "Bacterial small subunit ribosomal RNA", at positions 30 to 526 of the family's 1533-position model. The record is from RNAcentral.
AUUGAACGCUGGCGGCAUGCUUUACACAUGCAAGUCGGACGCGUCGGGCACGGGUGAGUAACGCAUCGGAACGUCCCGUGUCAUGGGGGAUAACUGGCCGAAAGGAAAGAUAAUACCGCAUAUUAUUCGAUCGGCCGAUGUCUGAUUAGCUGGUGGGCGGGGUAAAGGCACACCAAGGCGACGAUCAAUAGCGGGUCUGAGAGGAUGAUCCGCCACACUGGAACUGAGACACGGCCCAGACUCCUACGGGAGGCAGCAGUGGGGAAUUUUGCACAAUGGGCGCAAGCCUGAUGCAGCCAGGCCGCGUGUCUGAAGAAGGCCUUCGGGUUGUAAAGCACUUUUAUCAGGGAAGCGGUACCUGAAGAAUAAGCACCGGCUAACUACGUGCCAGCAGCCGCGGUAAUAC